GACGAACGCUGGCGGCGUGCCUAAUACAUGCAAGUAGAACGCACAGUUUAUACCGUAGCUUGCUACACCAUAGACUGUGAGUUGCGAACGGGUGAGUAACGCGUAGGUAACCUGCCUGGUAGCGGGGGAUAACUAUUGGAAACGAUAGCUAAUACCGCAUAAUAUUAAUUAUUGCAUGAUAAUUAAUUGAAAGGUGCAAUUGCACCACUACCAGAUGGACUUGCGUUGUAUUAGCUAGUAGGUGAGGUAACGGCUCACCUAGGCGACGAUACAUAGCCGACCUGAUAGGAUGAUCGGCCACACUGGGACUGAGACACGGCCCAGACUCCCACGGGAGGCAGCAGUAGGGAAUCUUCGGCAAUGGACGAAAGUCUGACCGAGCAACGCCGCGUGAGUGAAGAAGGUUUUCGGAUCGUAAAGCUCGGUUGUAAGAGAAGAACGGGUGUGAGAGUGGAAAGUUCACACUGUGACGGUAUCUUACCAGAAAGGGACGGCUAACUACGUG
This 505-nucleotide ribosomal RNA is filed under the name uncultured bacterium. RNAcentral describes it as "partial 16S ribosomal RNA". It matches the Rfam family "Bacterial small subunit ribosomal RNA", at positions 28 to 507 of the family's 1533-position model. The record is from RNAcentral.